This 206-nucleotide unclassified non-coding RNA is filed under the name Hevea brasiliensis (rubber tree). The record is from RNAcentral. Lineage: Eukaryota; Viridiplantae; Streptophyta; Magnoliopsida; Malpighiales; Euphorbiaceae.
GAAAGGUUGGCUAAACUGUUGAUAUUUAUAGCAGAUUUUGUUGCUUAGUUUAUGUUUCAGUCUUCUUGUAACAUUGUGACAUAGGUGAUGUCUGUUCUUUCACCUCCAAUCAUUUGUAACUUAGUUAAUGGUUGAAACAUUUAGAAACAGAAUAAGGUCAUUGGUUGGUAUUUAUUUAGUAAUAAGGGCUUUUCGAAGUCUUGGCG